Molecule: ribosomal RNA, 730 nt
Filed under: Protoparmeliopsis bolcana
Lineage: Eukaryota; Fungi; Ascomycota; Lecanoromycetes; Lecanorales; Lecanoraceae
Description: SSU rRNA
Rfam family: Bacterial small subunit ribosomal RNA
Source: RNAcentral
GUAUAGCAAUAGCUAAUUGCAUCAAUGUUUAAAUAAUUGGUGUAAUAUCGACUAUGUCGAAUAAAAUUCUAGGUAGAAUUAUGAUAAUGACAUUGUCUACCUAUGUGUCUUGACCAAAUUACGUGCCAGCAGUCGCGGUAAUACGUAGAAGACUAGUGUUAUUCAUCUUUAAUAGGUUUAAAGGGUACCUAGACGGUAAAUCAAGCCUGCAAUAUGGGACUAAUGUACUAGAGUUACUUACGAGGGGGUAUUAAAGUACUGCUGGUGUAGAGAUGAAAUUCUGUCAUACCUCGUUUCGGAAGAAACACUAUGGCACGGGUAUAGGCGAAAGCAUCCCCUUAUGUGAUAACUGACGUUGAAGGACGAAGGCUUUGUGUAGCGAACAGGAUUAGAUACCCCAGUAGUCAAAGCAGAAAAUGAUGAAUGUCAUAGAUUAGAUGUUAGUUUAUUCUAUAAAUGAAAGUGUAAGCAUUCCACCUCAAGAGUAAUUUGGCAACAUUGGAACUGAAAUCAUUAGACCGUUUCUGAAACCAGUAGUGAAGUAUGUUGUUUAAUUUGAUGGUCCGCAAAAAACCUUACCACAAUUUGAAUAUUUAGAUUCAUUUACAAGCGUUGCACGGCUGUCUUCAGUUAAUGUCGUGAGAUCAUGGUUAGUUCCAUUAAUUAACGUAAACCCUUACUUUAUUUUUAUAUAGAGUUGUUCCCCACUAGAUUGGAUAAGAUAACAGGG